This is a non-coding RNA of Omnitrophica WOR_2 bacterium, 87 nucleotides long. The record is from Rfam. NCBI's taxonomy places the organism in Bacteria, Pseudomonadati, Candidatus Omnitrophota.
GGAGAGGUGGCUGAGUGGUUGAAAGCGGCGGUCUUGAAAACCGUUGGGGAUGCAAGUCCCUCCUGAGUUCGAAUCUCAGCCUCUCCG